This 249-nucleotide ribosomal RNA is filed under the name Bacillus tropicus. RNAcentral describes it as "partial 23S ribosomal RNA". It matches the Rfam family "Bacterial large subunit ribosomal RNA", at positions 1 to 244 of the family's 2925-position model. Lineage: Bacteria; Bacillati; Bacillota; Bacilli; Caryophanales; Bacillaceae. The record is from RNAcentral.
GUUUGGUUAAGUUAGAAAGGGCGCACGGUGGAUGCCUUGACACUAGGAGUCGAUGAAGGACGGGACUAACGCCGAUAUGCUUCGGGGAGCUGUAAGUAAGCUUUGAUCCGAAGAUUUCCGAAUGGGGAAACCCACCAUACGUAAUGGUAUGGUAUCCUUAUCUGAAUACAUAGGGUAAGGAAGACAGACCCAGGGAACUGAAACAUCUAAGUACCUGGAGGAAGAGAAAGCAAAUGCGAUUUCCUGAGU